GCAAUUUCUAAUUUUUUUAUUUGUUAAGUUGAGGGCUUUUGAAUUGAGAUUUGUUGAUGGGAUAUGAAUUUCAGCCAUUUUGGUUUUUAUUUCCUUUUGAAGGCUGUUAAGAUUCUAUGUUGAUUAUAAUGAAUUUUGUGGUUGCAGUUUCUAGUUGUUUACUGUAUUUUGAAUUUGCAAUAACUCUGGCUUUUUUGAGUUGAUGAUAUAUGCCAAUAGUAGAGUAAAAUUUGUGCAGCUCGAUUUGCAUUUGGCUUUUGGUUUGGAAAGAGGUUUUCUUUGUUGACUAUCAGUGUGGGUGAUUUCUUAAGUUGCCCAAUUUUUAACUGAGUUAAUGUGUGCAUGGAACAGAUAUUCUUCUUUUCAGUUGAGUAUUUCCGUCCUGGAUAACUUCAAUAUGGCUUCAUUUCAAUUUUUAUGGAUAA
This 425-nucleotide unclassified non-coding RNA is filed under the name Hevea brasiliensis (rubber tree). Lineage: Eukaryota; Viridiplantae; Streptophyta; Magnoliopsida; Malpighiales; Euphorbiaceae. The record is from RNAcentral.